GACAGGGAGACAGGUGGUGCAUGGUUGUCGUCAGCUCGUGUCGUGAGAUGUUGGGUUAAGUCCCGCAACGAGCGCAACCCCUACGUUUAGUUGCUAACGCGUGAAGGCGAGCACUCUAGACGAACUGCCGUUGACAAAACGGAGGAAGGUGGGAUGACGUCAAAUCAUCAUGCCCCUUAUGUUCUGGGCUACAUACGUGCUACAAUGGCCGGUACAGACGGACGCAAAGCCGCGAGGUGGAGCAAAUCCUAAAAAGCCGGUCUCAGUUCGGAUUGCAGGCUGCAAUUCGCCUGCAUGAAGUCGGAAUCGCUAGUAAUCGCAGGUCAGCAUACUGCGGUGAAUACGUUCCCGGGCCUU
This 357-nucleotide ribosomal RNA is filed under the name uncultured Pelotomaculum sp. RNAcentral describes it as "bacterial SSU rRNA". It matches the Rfam family "Bacterial small subunit ribosomal RNA", at positions 1025 to 1382 of the family's 1533-position model. Lineage: Bacteria; Bacillati; Bacillota; Clostridia; Eubacteriales; Desulfotomaculaceae. The record is from RNAcentral.